GAUGAACGCUGGCGGCGUGCCUAAUACAUGCAAGUCGAGCGAACAGACGAGGAUUUUGCUCCUCUGACGUUAGCGGCGGACGGGUGAGUAACACGUGGAUAACCUACCUAUAAGACUGGGAUAACUUCGGGAAACCGGAGCUAAUACCGGAUAAUAUAUUGAACCGCAUGGUUCAAUAGUGAAAGACGGUUUUGCUGUCACUUAUAGAUGGAUCCGCGCCGCAUUAGCUAGUUGGUAAGGUAACGGCUUACCAAGGCGACGAUGCGUAGCCGACCUGAGAGGGUGAUCGGCCACACUGGGACUGAGACACGGUCCAGACUCCUACGGGAGGCAGCAGUAGGGAAUCUUCCGCAAUGGGCGAAAGCCUGACGGAGCAACGCCGCGUGAGUGAUGAAGGUCUUCGGAUCGUAAAACUCUGUUAUUAGGGAAGAACAAAUGUGUAAGUAACUAUGCACGUCUUGACGGUACCGGAUCAGAAAGCCACGGCUAACUACGUG
This 497-nucleotide ribosomal RNA is filed under the name uncultured bacterium. Its description in RNAcentral is "partial 16S ribosomal RNA". It matches the Rfam family "Bacterial small subunit ribosomal RNA", at positions 28 to 507 of the family's 1533-position model. The record is from RNAcentral.